GACGAGUCUCACAAACGUUAUUCGGAAUUACUGGGCGUAAAGCGUGCGCAGGCGGUUCGCCAAGUCAGGUGUGAAAUCCCCGGGCUUAACCUGGGAAUUGCGCUUGAAACUAGCGGGCUUGAGUGCGGCAGAGGGGGGUGGAAUUCCACGUGUAGCAGUGAAAUGCGUAGAGAUGUGGAGGAACACCGAUGGCGAAGGCAGCCCCCUGGGUCGACACUGACGCUCAUGCACGAAAGCGUGGGGAGCAAACAGG
This 253-nucleotide ribosomal RNA is filed under the name uncultured bacterium. RNAcentral describes it as "partial 16S ribosomal RNA". It matches the Rfam family "Bacterial small subunit ribosomal RNA", at positions 524 to 776 of the family's 1533-position model. The record is from RNAcentral.